GGACUGAGAGGUUGAACGGCCACGUUGGGACUGAGACACGGCCCAGACUCCUACGGGAGGCAGCAGUGGGGAAUAUUGCACAAUGGGGGAAACCCUGAUGCAGCGACGCCGCGUGGAGGAAGAAGGUCUUCGGAUUGUAAACUCCUGUUGUUGAGGAAGAUAAUGACGGUACUCAACAAGGAAGUGACGGCUAACUACGUGCCAGCAGCCGCGGUAAAACGUACGUCACAAGCGUUGUCCGGAAUUACUGGGUGUAAAGGGAGCGCAGGCGGGAAGACGAGUUGGAAGUGAAAUCUAUGGGCUCAACCCAUAAACUGCUUUCAUAACUGUUUUUCUUGAGUAGUGCAGAGGUAGGCGGAAUUCCCGGUGUAGCGGUGGAAUGCGUAGAUAUCGGGAGGAACACCAGUGGCGAAGGCGGUCUACUGAGCACCAACUGACGCUGAGGCUCGAAAGUGUGGGUAGCAAACAGGAUUAGAUACCCUGGUAGUCCACACCGUAGACGAUGAUUACUAGGU
This 515-nucleotide ribosomal RNA is filed under the name uncultured bacterium. Its description in RNAcentral is "bacterial SSU rRNA". It matches the Rfam family "Bacterial small subunit ribosomal RNA", at positions 289 to 821 of the family's 1533-position model. The record is from RNAcentral.